RNAcentral lists this ribosomal RNA (445 nucleotides) under uncultured bacterium. RNAcentral describes it as "partial 16S ribosomal RNA". It matches the Rfam family "Bacterial small subunit ribosomal RNA", at positions 354 to 796 of the family's 1533-position model. The record is from RNAcentral.
GUGAGGAAUAUUGGUCAAUGGGCGAGAGCCUGAACCAGCCAAGUCGCGUGAAGGAAGAAGGAUCUAUGGUUCGUAAACUUCUUUUGCAGGGGAAUAAAGUGCGGGACGUGUCCUGUUUUGUAUGUACCCUGAGAAUAAGGAUCGGCUAACUCCGUGCCAGCAGCCGCGGUAAUACGGAGGAUCCGAGCGUUAUCCGGAUUUAUUGGGUUUAAAGGGUGCGUAGGUGGUUUGAUAAGUCAGCGGUGAAAGUUUGCAGCUUAACUGUAAAAAUGCCGUUGAAACUGUCGGACUUGAGUGUAAAUGAGGUAGGCGGAAUGCGUGGUGUAGCGGUGAAAUGCAUAGAUAUCACGCAGAACUCCGAUUGCGAAGGCAGCUUACUAAGCUACAACUGACACUGAAGCACGAAAGCGUGGGGAUCCAACAGGAUUAGAAACCCGUGUAGUCC